GUACAAUUAACAUCUCAAGUGUGUACUCACAAGGGUUGCUAAAUACUCUGACACAGGCACUGCAGAGUUCUGGAGUAGAUUUGUCGCAGGCCAGCGUCUCAGUGCAAAUUGAGCUUGGAAAGCGAGGAAAUAGAAGACCAAUUAUUCCAGCAUCCAUUGUUAAGGAUAAUGAGGUUCCCUCAAGCAACCAAGGGACAAUACGGCCAAGAGUAUCAAGCGGAGAGGAAUCCCAUCAAGCCUCAAAGAAGAUCAAGACAAG
Molecule: unclassified non-coding RNA, 259 nt
Filed under: Hevea brasiliensis (rubber tree)
Lineage: Eukaryota; Viridiplantae; Streptophyta; Magnoliopsida; Malpighiales; Euphorbiaceae
Source: RNAcentral